RNAcentral lists this ribosomal RNA (411 nucleotides) under Triticum aestivum (bread wheat). RNAcentral's name for it is "partial small subunit ribosomal RNA". The record is from RNAcentral. Lineage: Eukaryota; Viridiplantae; Streptophyta; Magnoliopsida; Poales; Poaceae.
AUGUGUCUUGGAGUUACCUGCUCGAACUCAUGUCAAGAUCGACUAGGGUUCGGCCAACGUUGUUGUGACCUGAUUGCUUUGUUAUGGUCCUCCACCUCCUGUAGGAUCCUGGUGAAUGGAGAGCCUGGUCUGUGUUUUUGCACAAGCAAGGCCUGCGUCAGGGAGACCCUAGCUCUCUCCCCGAUGCUUUUCACAAUUGCUAUUGCUCCUUUGCAUUGGUUAUUUGCCAGGGCCUACUAUGUUGGAGCUCUUAGUGGACUAAGACUGCCACCUUCCCAGCCACGGGUCAGCCUCUAUGCUGAUGAUGCUGCCCUGUUCGUGUCUCCGGCUGGUAAACUCCCUACUCUCGGUGAUCCCGGUAUACUUAAUUUCCCUCUUCAAGCUCGAUAUUUGGGUCCUGAAGCAGAUUGA